GGGAGGUGGCCUUCUUUUGCACUCGACAGGGAUUUGCACGCCCAGAAGUGUGCAAGAUAAGUCGAGGGCUACGACCCACUGAGGGGAGGGAAGCGGGGUGCUGGCUUGGGACUGCCUGGAAGGGAUUUUUGAGUCUGCUUUGGAGAUGGGGAUGUCUAAGAAGCGUCUCAUUAGGCCACCUAAAGGGAAAGCGUCUCUUUUUAAUCUCAGCGCUGAGGUGCGCAGGGCAGAGCAGUUCCGGCGUGGGUCGUGUCACUUGUCUCUUGUGCAUUCUGUGUUGUUUGGGUCUGUCACGUCACUUGUCUUUUUUUACCUUAGCUGUCUGAGGGUCAUCUUGGCAUCUGUGAUCUUUGCGUUCCUCGGCCCGGCACCAACGCCACAGGCCUUUUGACUCGGGAGUCCCGACAGGCAUCGCAGUCGUAUCUGUCUUUAGAAGCAUCCGGUCGGAUGUCUUUUAAGGUCUCGUUCUGAGCGGUAGCGACAGCCGCACACCCCAACGAUCCAUUAUAGCGGCUUAGGACUCGUGAGAAUGCCAAGCUAGGUAGCUCAUUCUUACCGUAGGCUUUUCAGGCAUCCGCUCUUGCAGUUCUCGGAAGACAUAGUUUUCUUAGCAUCUUCUUCCUGCAGGGUUCUUUGAGCCUCAUCGGCUCCGAGCUGUCCGUCUCACCUAGGUCAUCUCCUUCCGCAAUCUCUCUGUCCUCGCGGGCAUUUUUCUCGCCAAGAGAUUUUUCUCCUCGUGGCGUCCCCUCGUUUGUCGUGUCCUGUCCUGUGUCACGGGUGUCUGCACGUAUUUGUCCCGGAGCUGCUCUGUCCUGCUGCAUAGCCUGGUGUAAUUGCACAAGUCCUGGAGACCUGCAAUUUGGAAUGGGGGAUGUAGUUGUAUUCUAGAUGGUAUUCCUAGAUUCACACAGGAUGCUUGGACCUGUUAAGUUAUCCUACAGUUGUUUGAAUUUUCUCCUGACUUUCUUUCAGAUGCAGACAUUUAAGGUCUGUGGCAGAGCGCCCCUCCUGGGUCAGGGGGUUUUCCCUGAGAAGGAAGUCCAGGCAGAUAGCUGCAGUCAAGGCCAAGUGUGCCAGGCAGUCCUCUUGCAAGAUGUCUCUGAUCCCAGAUGUCUGAGGCCAGGUGUCAUUGCCGCCCUAGGCGUGUGAAGGAACAGAGUCAAGCGGGUAUCCUCCUGGCAGCCUGUUGAGUCGCAUCAAGAUUUCAGGUAUCGUGAGGAGGCGCAUAGCUGAAGUUUGGAAACGGCAGCACCGAAGCGGAUGUAGAGAACAUGUCGCCGUCCACGUCCGCCUGAUGAUGGAUUUUGUCCGGUCGUCUUGCAAAAGCUAAGUGUCGGGGCCAGUAGGUGGGAGAAGGGGAAAAACCUUUAGUAUCACAGGAGACAAUUAGAUGUUAGGUUAGAGGAGAGGCCCAUAGUGGGACGGGCCCCUCGGAAGCAGAGGGAGAGGGUUUCUCCUCAGCCUCACCAGAGUCUUUGCCGGGCAGGGCAGUUCCGAUCCGUCUUCGCGUCCUCGCGAGGUUUGCGUCGGCGGCCUUCUUCGACUCUCGACAUCGUCGUGGAUCUUUUCACCCGAGGAGCCCGCCUUCACGUCCGGAGCUAUAGCCACGGUCACGCCGUAGUCAUCGCUUUCUCGUCUAGGCCUACUGAGCUUCUUAGGCUUCCUCUUAAGUCCUUUGGCACUAACAUCUUGAAAGGAGUUAAAUUUCAUCAUCACAUGCUAUUGCCCUAGGGCUUUCUUUCCUUUGGCAUCAUCGGCCUAUGACUCAUCUUGGACUAGCAAUCUUGGGUCCAUAAGGUGGAACUGCCAGGCAGUUUCCACUCGUGUCUGUGUUAUGUCGUCCGUGUCUGUGUUAUGUCGUCCGUGUCUGUGUUAUGUCGUCCGUGUCUGUGUUAUGUUGUCCGUGUCCAUUGAUUUCUGCGUCAUAGGCCUUUGUUACAUCUCGAGGCUUUAUCGGCGUUGUUCUCUGCCGUAUCGGCCAUAUUUUACUCGUGUACCUUCCUGGAUAUCGCUUAUUCCAGCAUCGUUACAUUUCUACUUUUUGAGACGGGAAGAAGUACAGGAGACGUUCUCAUCCAUCUUCCUUCUCACCUUUGGUAGCGCCUUCUCUUCCCGUGCCAUUCUCUCGGACUUCUAGAGGGAGCAUAUUAGACCCUCAUCACCUGACCGCAGUAGUUCCGUAGCUUGCGCCUUCUCAAAGGGUAUAGGGCUCAACAAUUAAUCUUCCGGAGAGUUACGUCAAGUCCUCACUUAUAUUGUAUCUACGUCGGCUUAUAUUGUACGUGCUUAGGUUGUACCUACCUAUGUUGGCUUAUACUGUAUGUGCUUAUAUUGUAUGUACUUAUGUCGUAUGUACCUAUGUCGGUUUAUAUUGUAUGUACUUAUACUGUAUGUACCUACGUUGGCUUAUAUUGUGCAUAUAUUGUAUGUACCUACCUUGGCUUAUGUUGUACAAGCCUCUGUCGUGCCACUUACGAUCGGAGCUGCCCUGCCCAGGCACGUAGUCACGGUUAGGUAGAGCAGUUAUAAAACUUUACAGUUCAUCUGUCUUCUAUGGGGGUUUUGGGUACAAAAUUUAUGGACCCGGAGCGGGAAUAGCUCCUAGCCGUCAGAUAGUCACUCGUCGUCUCUGUCGUCUCGCAGGUCCCCGGGUCCCUACACGUUAUCCCGGAAUCCACCGCCGGACAUCGAAGAGCCGCGGUCAGAAGACGCGUCAAAGCGUCAAGGUAGCGUUUCAAGUAAGGGUCGCGGUCAGGGUGUGAGCGGAAGAGCACGUGAGAGAGCGUGAUUGUCCGUGUCUGUCUGUGAGAGCUUGCGUCUGCAGGCGUGAGUGUGUGUCGACCGGUUCUAACCUUGUGCGUAUGGCCUUUGCCUUUCAGGUUUUUCAGCUCAUUUUUAAAUUUAGAAUAAAAAAUCCCCAGCCGGGGGGUUUUUUUUUUUUCCCCCCGGCUGGGUUUUUUUUUCCUCGGUCCCGGCCGGUCCGCGAGGCGACGUUCAUCGCCAAAGUUCGGAGGCGGACCGUCCCGGGACCGGGGUUUUCGUCAGGCAGGAGAAUUUUUUCGGAGGCUCCCGGGAACCACGUUCCCGAGGAGCGUCGUGCAUGCGUGUCGAUGGCCGGGGGUUAGGGGAGCGGUUGAGACGAGAGCGAGGGUGGGUUUGUGCGUGAGCUGAAGGAGGGCUCUGUGUGUGUGUGUUUGCGUGUGUGUGUCGACCGGUUCUAACCUUGUGCGUAUGGCCUUUGCCUUUCAGGUUUUUCAGCUCAUUUUUAAAUUUAGAAUAAAAAAUCCCCAGCCGGGGGGUUUUUUUUUUUUUUCCCCCCGGCUGGGUUUUUUUUUCCUCGGUCCCGGCCGGUCCGUGAGGCGACGUUCAUCGCCAAAGUUCGGAGGCGGACCGUCCCGGGACCGGGGUUUUCGUCAGGCAGGCGGAUUUUUCCGGAGGCUCCCGGGAACCACGUUCCCGAGGAGCGUCGUGCAUGCGUGUCGAUGGCCGGGGGUUAGGGGAGCGGUUGAGACGAGAGCGAGGGUGGGUUUGUGGGUAAGUUGAAGGAGGGCUCUGUGUGUGUGUCGACCGGUUCUAACCUUGUGCGUAUGGCCUUUGCCUUUCAGGUUUUUCAGCUCAUUUUUAAAUUUAGAAUAAAAAAUCCCCAGCCGGGGGGUUUUUUUUUUUUUCCCCCCGGCUGGGUUUUUUUUUCCUCGGUCCCGGCCGGUCCGCGAGGCGACGUUCAUCGCCAAAGUUUGGAGGCGGACCGUCCCGGGACCGGGGUUUUCGUCAGGCAGGAGGAUUUUUUCAGAGGUUCCCGGGAACCACGUUCCCGAGGAACAACGAUUGCCGGGGCUUAACGGAGCGGUUGAAACGAUAGCGACAGUGAGUUUGUGUGCAAUGUGAAGGAGGCGGUCACGGUGGAUGACUGUUGGUUUCUGUGUGCUAUUUUUGUUUGGUCUUUCCUCUAACAAUCAAUGAAAAUGUAAUGUAAAUAGAAAAAAGGUUAUAUUGUGUUAAUGUGCGUUCGUUGUCUAUUGCCCCGUAUUGUUCCGUGUUUGCAUUUGCUGCUGCAUUUCCACAUACGGUUCUGUACGUAAGUGGGAUUUCUACCGGUCAGCGUACGGAUUGUAUCUACGCUCCCAUCGGUAUACAUUGUUUCCAUGUAUUUUGCUGGAGUGUAAAUAAAAAAAAUCAUUCAAUAAA
Vidua chalybeata is the source of this 4185-nucleotide long non-coding RNA. RefSeq lists it as uncharacterized. Lineage: Eukaryota; Metazoa; Chordata; Aves; Passeriformes; Viduidae. The transcript has 6 exons. The record is from RefSeq and is a predicted model, not a curated record.